GCUGUGGAUGAGGCUUUGGCUUAAGGGAAUAUUGUGGCUGGUUUGAUCCUCUGUCCAGACUGCUCAAAUUGUCUCCAUAUC
RNAcentral lists this microRNA precursor (81 nucleotides) under Canis lupus familiaris (dog). RNAcentral describes it as "miRNA (ENSCAFG00000053916.1)". Lineage: Eukaryota; Metazoa; Chordata; Mammalia; Carnivora; Canidae. The record is from RNAcentral.